Molecule: long non-coding RNA, 1312 nt
Organism: Leopardus geoffroyi (Geoffroy's cat)
Lineage: Eukaryota; Metazoa; Chordata; Mammalia; Carnivora; Felidae
Exons: 3
Source: RefSeq, a predicted model, not a curated record
AGCUUGCAAGGGCUGCCCAGAAGCACAGAGGAGUCAACUUCCCCAGAAACAGUUUUCAAACAGUGAGGGAGGGAGACAAUGAGGAAAGGCUCCAGCUAUCAUCCGUGAGCAUUUUUGCCAUCAACCUUUAGGCUGUGGAGCUGGAGUGGAAAAGUAGAAAGAGAUGAUGUAACAGAAGCCACAUCAGACAGGAAAGGGAAAGGAGUUGCUAGGAACCCAUGAGGUUUAAGAAAAUGUUGCAAGCCGUCAAGCUAUUGUUGCAUGUUCUCCCAGCCCCACCUUCAUGCUGCAAGAUGUGUCCAGACUGGUAGCUUGAAGCAGUCUUUGCGUGUUACGCAAGAGAUCCAGAAGCAUCUGCACCACUGUGGUAAACAGAGAAAGUGGCUGAGAAUUGAGAAUUGGCAGGCCUGCCCAAAGGUCGCUCUGCACUGGAGGUACAGGGACCCCGCCCCGUUUUAUGGAGGUGUGACAAGAGGCUGCACGUUGGCAGCUCAAAGCUGAGGGUCCAGGUGGUAGUUGUACCAAGUCUCUGGGGGCAGUGGCUGGAGCAAAAGCCCAGCAGCAGGGUGACAGGGCCAGAACACUGCAAGAUAUCCAGCCACAGAUCCCUCAACAAGGAUGUGGAAGGACAGAGACUCCUGUCCAAAGGCGUUGAGCUCCCUUUUCCCACGGAGGAGCAAAAGCCAUAUGGCUCAGACCAGAGGUCCGUCUCCAAUUCUGUGCCCCUGUAGCACUCAGGAAACAGAGAGGGAGGAGGGGUGCACAGAGAGCCCCUGGAAGGGCUGAGAAGCUAUUGCAGAGUGAACUUACUCACAGAGAAUGAGAGUCGAUUUUAACCAGAAAAGCUGGAGUAUAAUUUCCCCCCACCUUCGUUUCAUUUGGAGACUUUGAAACAAGAUAAAAAAAAAUAUUCAGGGAACAAUAAAGAAACACCUUAUUUCCUUGCACAUCUGAAUUGUAAUGCAUAAAUUGUAAUCCAGUUACAAAAGUAUACAGUGGCCAGUGGCAUUGUCCUAAAAGGCUAUGUGAAACCAACUGCUUUAAAUCACAUUUCCUGCGUUGUAAAACUCUCUUGGUUGAAAGAAUAAUAGUUUAAACAUUUUUGUGUCAUCUGCUCCAGAGCGUAUGAUGGUUCUCUGAUCUGCAGAUUCUUUACGGGAAAGGAUUAUAGUUCACCAUUUUUCAUCCUGUAAUUGAUACACUAACUGCCUAUCGAGACCCAAGAUUUCAGAGGCAAAAUACAGCUACUGGCUUUGUCUGUAUGUCUUACUCAAAAAAAAAAAAAAAAAAAAAAAAAAAAAAAUUAAAUAAA